UACGAAGGGACCUAGCGUAGUUCGGAUUUACUGGGCUUAAAGAGUUCGUAGGUGGUUGAAAAAGUUAGUGGUGAAAUCCCAGAGCUUAACUCUGGAACUGCCACUAAAACUUUUCAGCUAGAGUAUGAUAGAGGAAAGCAGAAUUUCUAGUGUAGAGGUGAAAUUCGUAGAUAUUAGAAAGAAUACCAAUUGCGAAGGCAGCUUUCUGGAUCAUUACUGACACUGAGGAACGAAAGCAUGGGUAGCGAAGAGG
This 253-nucleotide ribosomal RNA is filed under the name uncultured Pelagibacterales bacterium. RNAcentral's name for it is "partial 16S ribosomal RNA". It matches the Rfam family "Bacterial small subunit ribosomal RNA", at positions 524 to 776 of the family's 1533-position model. Lineage: Bacteria; Pseudomonadati; Pseudomonadota; Alphaproteobacteria; Candidatus Pelagibacterales. The record is from RNAcentral.